UACGUAGGGGCCAAGCGUUGUCCGGAUUUAUUGGGCGUAAAGAGCUCGUAGGCGGUUGGGUAAGUCGGGUGUGAAAACUCCAGGCUCAACUUGGAGAUGCCACCCGAUACUGCUCUGACUAGAGUCCGGAAGAGGCAAGUGGAAUUCCCGGUGUAGCGGUGAAAUGCGCAGAUAUCGGGAGGAACACCAAUGGCGAAGGCAGCUUGCUGGGACGGUACUGACGCUGAGGCGCGAAAGCCAGGGGAGCAAACGGG
Molecule: ribosomal RNA, 254 nt
Filed under: uncultured bacterium
Lineage: Bacteria
Description: partial 16S ribosomal RNA
Rfam family: Bacterial small subunit ribosomal RNA
Source: RNAcentral